Molecule: long non-coding RNA, 702 nt
Filed under: Populus tremula
Lineage: Eukaryota; Viridiplantae; Streptophyta; Magnoliopsida; Malpighiales; Salicaceae
Description: long non-coding RNA (PTRE_LNC000417)
Source: RNAcentral
GUACGAUGAUCACAGAUUAAAAAGAGAAAAACAUUUGUGGAGAGUAUUGACCUUUGAUUCCACAGUUGCAGACAAGGCCGUCGACUUCUUUUACUAGCAUUAAUGCUUUUAAUUCCUAGUCGAUUCGAAGCUCGUUAUAGGUGGAAGGACCACUUUCGCCAAGGAAUACAACAAAAAAAAAUGCAACUCUUUUUUUAUAUAUAUAUAUAAAAUAUUCUUAUAUGACUUAUUUGAAGAAACUAUUUAUCUGAUAGGUGCUUUGCCUAAUCCAUAUACCUGAAAAAACGAUUCACCGUUAAAAUAAGGCAUCUCCUUGCUUCUUUGGUUGAAUUGAAGUUUGUCCUGUAAAUCUUUUUUAUGUUUUCUUUUGCUCGUAAUCCGGUAACAAGGAUAGCAAAUAUUGUAGAAGUCUUGAUCUCCGGCCAUGUACCUAUAGUUCAAACUGAAAUAGUAGCAUCUAUUCAUUAAAACCAUACGUAUAAAAGAACUUCGAUAAUAGAGGAGACAAAGCAAGGACAGUUACAGAAUAUUUUGGGCCGAUUAUCGUUAACAAUCGAGGGCCUACAUAAAACAAAUGAGACAAAGCCAGGACAGUACUCACUAAAUAAACCUGGGCUAGAUUUCAGAGGCGGGUCAAAUAGGGAGUCCCAGACAAGCGAUUUCUGCGAAGCAAGCAGCGUCAACACUCCGCCUAUUUUUGCG